CAUGGCUCAGGAUGAACGCUAGCUACAGGCUUAACACAUGCAAGUCGAGGGGCAGCAUGGUCUUAGCUUGCUAAGGCCGAUGGCGACCGGCGCACGGGUGAGUAACACGUAUCCAACCUGCCGUCUACUCUUGGACAGCCUUCUGAAAGGAAGAUUAAUACAAGAUGGCAUCAUGAGUCCGCAUGUUCACAUGAUUAAAGGUAUUCCGGUAGACGAUGGGGAUGCGUUCCAUUAGAUAGUAGGCGGGGUAACGGCCCACCUAGUCUUCGAUGGAUAGGGGUUCUGAGAGGAAGGUCCCCCACAUUGGAACUGAGACACGGUCCAAACUCCUACGGGAGGCAGCAGUGAGGAAUAUUGGUCAAUGGGCGCAGGCCUGAACCAGCCAAGUAGCGUGAAGGAUGACUGCCCUAUGGGUUGUAAACUUCUUUUAUAAAGGAAUAAAGUCGGGUAUGUAUACCCAUUUGCAUGUACUUUAUGAAUAAGGAUCGGCUAACUCCGUGCCAGCAGCCGCGGUAAUACGGAGGAUCCGAGCGUUAUCCGGAUUUAUUGGGUUUAAAGGGAGCGUAGAUGGAUGUUUAAGUCAGUUGUGAAAGUUUGCGGCUCAACCGUAAAAUUGCAGUUGAUACUGGAUAUCUUGAGUGCAGUUGAGGCAGGCGGAAUUCGUGGUGUAGCGGUGAAAUGCUUAGAUAUCACGAAGAACUCCGAUUGCGUAGGCAGCCUGCUAAGCUGCAACUGACAUUGAGGCUCGAAAGUGUGGGUAUCAAACAGGAUUAGAUACCCUGGUAGUCCACACGGUAAACGAUGAAUACUCGCUGUUUGCGAUAUACAGCAAGCGGCCAAGCGAAAGCGUUAAGUAUUCCACCUGGGGAGUACGCCGGCAACGGUGAAACUCAAAGGAAUUGACGGGGGCCCGCACAAGCGGAGGAACAUGUGGUUUAAUUCGAUGAUACGCGAGGAACCUUACCCGGGCUUAAAUUGCAGAUGAAUUACGGUGAAAGCCGUAAGCCGCAAGGCAUCUGUGAAGGUGCUGCAUGGUUGUCGUCAGCUCGUGCCGUGAGGUGUCGGCUUAAGUGCCAUAACGAGCGCAACCCUUGUUGUCAGUUACUAACAGGUUCCGCUGAGGACUCUGACAAGACUGCCAUCGUAAGAUGUGAGGAAGGUGGGGAUGACGUCAAAUCAGCACGGCCCUUACGUCCGGGGCUACACACGUGUUACAAUGGGGGGUACAGAGGGCCGCUACCACGCGAGUGGAUGCCAAUCCCAAAAACCUCUCUCAGUUCGGACUGGAGUCUGCAACCCGACUCCACGAAGCUGGAUUCGCUAGUAAUCGCGCAUCAGCCACGGCGCGGUGAAUACGUUCCCGGGCCUUGUACACACCGCCCGUCAAGCCAUGGGAGCCGGGGGUACCUGAAGUGCGUAACCGCGAGGAGCGCCCUAGGGUAAAACU
RNAcentral lists this ribosomal RNA (1447 nucleotides) under uncultured organism. RNAcentral's name for it is "SSU rRNA". It matches the Rfam family "Bacterial small subunit ribosomal RNA". The record is from RNAcentral.